GAUGAACGCUGGCGGCGUGCUUAAUACAUGCAAGUCGAGCGAACAGACGAGGAGCUUGCUCCUCUGACGUUAGCGGCGGACGGGUGAGUAACACGUGGAUAACCUACCUAUAAGACUGGGAUAACUUCGGGAAACCGGAGCUAAUACCGGAUAACAUGUUGAACCGCAUGGUUCAACAGUGAAAGACGGUUUUGCUGUCACUUAUAGAUGGAUCCGCGUCGCAUUAGCUAGUUGGUAAGGUAACGGCUUACCAAGGCAACGAUGCGUAGCCGACCUGAGAGGGUGAUCGGCCACACUGGAACUGAGACACGGUCCAGACUCCUACGGGAGGCAGCAGUAGGGAAUCUUCCGCAAUGGGCGAAAGCCUGACGGAGCAACGCCGCGUGAGUGAAGAAGGUCUUCGGAUCGUAAAACUCUGUUAUUAGGGAAGAACAAAUGUGUAAGUAACUAUGCACGUCUUGACGGUACCUAAUCAGAAAGCCACGGCUAACUACGUG
This 497-nucleotide ribosomal RNA is filed under the name uncultured bacterium. RNAcentral's name for it is "partial 16S ribosomal RNA". It matches the Rfam family "Bacterial small subunit ribosomal RNA", at positions 28 to 507 of the family's 1533-position model. The record is from RNAcentral.